UCCUACAUUCACAUCUUCAAUUGAUUUAAA
RNAcentral lists this small RNA (30 nucleotides) under Bombyx mori (domestic silkworm). Its description in RNAcentral is "ovarian small RNA-27691". The record is from RNAcentral. Lineage: Eukaryota; Metazoa; Arthropoda; Insecta; Lepidoptera; Bombycidae.